This 1244-nucleotide ribosomal RNA is filed under the name metagenome. RNAcentral describes it as "bacterial LSU rRNA". It matches the Rfam family "Bacterial large subunit ribosomal RNA", at positions 1564 to 2817 of the family's 2925-position model. The record is from RNAcentral.
UGAAUACGAGAUGCUACGGCGUCGAAGCAGUCUAUGUCAUACUUCCAAGAAAAGCUUGCACUGUCAUAAACAAAUAAUGCCUGUACCAUAACCGACACAGGUGGGUAGGUAGAGUAUACUAAGGGGCGCGAGAUAACUCUCUCUAAGGAACUCGGCAAAAUGACUCCGUAACUUCGGGAGAAGGAGUGCCUUAUUUAUAAGGUUGCAAUAACAAGAUCCAAGCAACUGUUUACCAAAAACACAGGUCUCCGCUAAGUCGUAAGACGAUGUAUGGGGGCUGACGCCUGCCCAGUGCCAGAAGGUUAAAGAAGUUGGUUAGCAUCCGCGAAGCUGAUAACUGAAGCCCUGGUGAACGGCGGCCGUAACUAUAACGGUCCUAAGGUAGCGAAAUUCCUUGUCGGGUAAGUUCCGACCCGCACGAAAGGCGUAAUGAUUUGGAUACUGUCUCGGAGAGGGGCUCGGUGAAAUAGACUUGUCUGUGAAGAUGCGGACUACCUGCACCAGGACAGAAAGACCCUAUGAAGCUUUACUGUAACCUGAAAUUGAAAUUGGACUUUACUUGCGCAGUAUAGGUGGGAGGCGUUGAGAAUAUUCUUGCGGGAUUAUUGGAGCCAUCAGUGAGAUACCACUCUUGUAAUGUUAGAUUUCUAACUUUGCAUCAUUAUCUGGUCAAAGAACAGUUUCAGGCGGGCAGUUUGACUGGGGCGGUCGCCUCCUAAACGGUAACGGAGGCGCACAAAGGUUUCCUCUGAACGGGUAGAAAUCGUAUCUAGAGUGUAAAGGCAUAAGGAAGCUUGACUGUGAGACCUACAAGUCGAGCAGGGACGAAAGUCGGUCUUAGUGAUCUGACGGUGCUGAGUGGAAAGGCCGUCACUCAACGGAUAAAAGUUACUCUAAGGAUAACAGGCUGAUCUCCCCCAAGAGUUCACAUCGACGGGGAGGUUUGGCACCUCGAUGUCGGCUCAUCGCAUCCUGGGGCGGUAGUACGUCCCAAGGGUUGGGCUGUUCGCCCAUGAAAGCGGUACGCGAGCUGGGUUCAGAACGUCGUGAGACAGUUCGGUCCAUAUCCGGUGUAGGCGUUAGAAUAUUGAGAGGAGCCUUCUUUAGUACGAGAGGACCGAGAAGGACAUACCUCUGGUGUACCAGUUAUCGUGCCAACGGUAAACGCUGGGUAGCUAUGUGUGGAGUGGAUAACCGCUGAAAGCACCUAAGUGGGAAGCCCACCUCAAGAUAAGUAUUCUCAC